Molecule: ribosomal RNA, 700 nt
Filed under: Comamonas aquatica
Lineage: Bacteria; Pseudomonadati; Pseudomonadota; Betaproteobacteria; Burkholderiales; Comamonadaceae
Description: bacterial SSU rRNA
Rfam family: Bacterial small subunit ribosomal RNA
Source: RNAcentral
AGAGUUUGAUCAUGGCUCAGAUUGAACGCUGGCGGCAUGCCUUACACAUGCAAGUCGAACGGUAACAGGUCUUCGGAUGCUGACGAGUGGCGAACGGGUGAGUAAUACAUCGGAACGUGCCUAGUAGUGGGGGAUAACUACUCGAAAGAGUGGCUAAUACCGCAUGAGAUCUACGGAUGAAAGCAGGGGAUCGCAAGACCUUGUGCUACUAGAGCGGCCGAUGGCAGAUUAGGUAGUUGGUGGGAUAAAAGCUUACCAAGCCGACGAUCUGUAGCUGGUCUGAGAGGACGAUCAGCCACACUGGGACUGAGACACGGCCCAGACUCCUACGGGAGGCAGCAGUGGGGAAUUUUGGACAAUGGGCGCAAGCCUGAUCCAGCAAUGCCGCGUGCAGGAUGAAGGCCUUCGGGUUGUAAACUGCUUUUGUACGGAACGAAAAGCCCUGGGUUAAUACCCUGGGGUCAUGACGGUACCGUAAGAAUAAGCACCGGCUAACUACGUGCCAGCAGCCGCGGUAAUACGUAGGGUGCGAGCGUUAAUCGGAAUUACUGGGCGUAAAGCGUGCGCAGGCGGUUUUGUAAGACAGAGGUGAAAUCCCCGGGCUCAACCUGGGAACUGCCUUUGUGACUGCAAGGCUAGAGUACGGCAGAGGGGGAUGGAAUUCCGCGUGUAGCAGUGAAAUGCGUAGAUAUGCGGAGGA